GGGAACCAUUGUCACACUGCAGGACCCAGAAUAGAUCUGUUGUUCCUCUUUUGGUGUCAGACUUCAAUGGAGGAGAGGAGGAGGAAUUGAGGAGAGGAGGAGGAAUUGAGGAGAGGCUGUUUCUGACUGUUUAAGGGUCUUUGUGAUUUACUUAGCUCACUCCUGGUCCACUUUACACACACCCAAUAGGAGUCAUAGCUGUGUAGCUUUGAGCCAAUAGGAGCCAUAGCUAUGCUGCUCUGAACCAAUAGGAGCCCUAUUUUCACGUGGCUUACAGACAGAAAAUCUAGGAAGGAGGAAGGGGGGGGGGGGGGGGGUGAGGAAAAGAGAAAAGGAGAGUGAGUCCUAAGAAGGGAGGAGGUCUGUAUUUAGAUUCUGUCUGUUGAGGAGGGAGGGUGGAAAGGAGGUGUGGUGGUGGGGGUGAAGACGGGAGGGGGGGGAGUGAUGACAUUCCUUUGAAGUGGUUAGCAGCUGAGGUAUUAAAUUAUUCAGUUGUAGGAGAUUAAAGUUUCAGGGGAUAAUUUGACUUGUCGUCUCCUUUUCUCUCUGCCUCUUCUCUCCUGGCCUCCCUGCCUCUCCUCCCCUGGUCUCCCUGCUUCUCAUCCCCUGGCCUCCCUGUCUCUCCUCCCCUGGCCUCCCUGCCUCUCCUCCCCUGGCCUCCCUGCCUCUCCUCCCCUGGCCUCCCUGCCUCUCAUCCCCUGGCCUCCCUGCCUUUCCUCCCCUGGCCUCCCUGCCUUUCCUCCCCUGGCCUCCCUGCCUUUCCUCCCCUGGCCUCCCUGCCUUUCCUCCCCUGGCCUGUCACUGGAGGGCAAAACAACUUUGUCUGUAGUCUAGCUGGCUGCAAGGUUUUAUGAAGUGUGGUUGAAUCAUUUCCAGUGUGUGUGUGUGUGUGUGUGUGUGUGUGUGUCUCAUCACUGGAGAAACCCUAUAGAAGGAAGUGUAGUUAGAACAUGCUGCUCUCACACUCACCCUCUUUCUCUCCCCCUAUUGGGAUGACGCCAUUUUCUCUCCUCUCCUCUUUCAGGGGUUCUGAUGUUCUGGCUGGCAUGUGUUCUGAACAACAAAGACACUGGCUGUAGACUGGCUAAUGAAUUUCUGAAAACUAGCUGUGGAUUGUGCAGAAGACUUGGCUACCCUCCCAAUUUCCAGGAAAACUGUUUCCAUAUAAACAUGUGGAGCAUGACAUCUCAUUAGGAUAACUGAAUGGUUUUUUUACAGAAGCAGAUUUAUUUGAAGCAUACAGUAGAUGUGCUUGAGUGGAUUUGAAUGCUUAUCAAGGUCAUUAGGGUUUAACUCAUAGUUCAGUCAGGAGGUAUAUUUUAUAAAGGUCAUUAGGGUUUAACUCAUGGUUCAGUCUGGGGUACGUUUUAUAAAGGUCAUUAGGGUUUAACUCAUGGUUCAGUCUAGGGGUACAUUUUAUAAAGGGUUUAAAUGAUGGUUUCUGGAGCUGAGGUUUGCAACAAAUGUUCACUAUUGUCCCACAUAUAAAUCCUGCCAUCUUCGUUGGACAAAAAGUUACAGAUGCCAGUUACAAGGCCAGUCACAGAGGCCAGACUGAGAGGCCAGACAGAGGCCAGUCAUAAAGGCCAGAUUCAUGGGCCAGUCACAGUGACCAGUCAGAGAGGCCAGUUAUGGAGGCCAGUAAAUGUGUGGCAGACGUAACCGUAAACUAACGACAGCACCUCCAGGCUCUCACCAAGCUGUAAGGUAUAGUCCCCAGGUCGAUGUGGGCUCUCUCACCAAGCUGUAAGGUAUAGUCCCCAGGUCGAUGUGGGCUCUCUCACCAAGCUGUAAGGUAUAGUCCCCAGGUCAUUGUGG
Molecule: long non-coding RNA, 1818 nt
Organism: Esox lucius (northern pike)
Lineage: Eukaryota; Metazoa; Chordata; Actinopteri; Esociformes; Esocidae
Source: Ensembl